This 253-nucleotide ribosomal RNA is filed under the name uncultured bacterium. RNAcentral's name for it is "partial 16S ribosomal RNA". It matches the Rfam family "Bacterial small subunit ribosomal RNA", at positions 524 to 776 of the family's 1533-position model. The record is from RNAcentral.
UACGGAGGGUGCAAGCGUUAUCCGGAUUUACUGGGUUUAAAGGGUGCGUAGGCGGGUUGAUAAGUCAGUGGUGAAAGCCCCGGGCCUAACCCGGGAACUGCCAUUGAUACUAUCAGUCUUGAAUACAGUUGAGGUGGGCGGAAUGUGUCGUGUAGCGGUGAAAUGCUUAGAUAUGACACAGAACACCGAUUGCGAAGGCAGCUCGCUAAACUGUGAUUGACGCUGAGGCACGAAAGCGUGGGGAUCAAACAGG